UACAGAGGGGGCAAGCGUUAUUCGGAAUUAUUGGGCGUAAAGGGCGCGUAGGCGGCCUGCUAAGUCGGACGUGAAAUCCCCCGGCUCAACCGGGGAACUGCGUCCGAUACUGGUGGGCUCGAAUCCGGGAGGGGGAUGUGGAAUUCCAGGUGUAGCGGUGAAAUGCGUAGAUAUCUGGAGGAAUACCGGUGGCGAAGGCGGCAUCCUGGACCGACAUUGACGCUGAGGAGCGAAAGCUAGGGGAGCAAACGGG
Molecule: ribosomal RNA, 253 nt
Filed under: uncultured bacterium
Lineage: Bacteria
Description: partial 16S ribosomal RNA
Rfam family: Bacterial small subunit ribosomal RNA
Source: RNAcentral